Molecule: long non-coding RNA, 3645 nt
Filed under: Gallus gallus (chicken)
Lineage: Eukaryota; Metazoa; Chordata; Aves; Galliformes; Phasianidae
Description: lncRNA (ENSGALG00010015053.1)
Source: RNAcentral
GCACACUGACCAGCAAUGUAGCUCCUCUGGCACAGAAUCACUGCAGUGAGCUGAUGAAGAUCUUUUCAGUCCCUGGGCUUCCCAGUGCUGUCAUGACAACAGCUACUUUCUUGGGCCUGCUGAAACCCCUUUUCACAUUCAGUGAAUGCCAUGCACAGAAAAGUAGGUUGUUUUCAUCAAUCUCCCUCUCAUUCUGAGAUCUGUUUGAUUGAGAAUAGGGAGGGAUGCUGUAAUACUAUGGACUUGGCUUAUUUUCCAAGAACACGGCCCACAUGGAGCUUACAGGAAAGGUUUGAAGAGUUAUGACUUGGAAACAUAAUUCUGAUAGCUGAGUAUAUAAAUAUAAUAUCUGUAAUAAAGACUUUCCCUUAGUGGCAAAUGACAAUUCAGUUAUAUUGGAAUUACAUCAGUUUCCAUUACUUCGAGCGUGACUUCUGCUGUUCGGUGAACGCUGUAGCAACACAAAGAUAUGACAAUGCCUGUGUCUUUUAACAUGGAAAUCAUACCUCAGCUUUACAGAAUCACAGAAGAGUUGAGGUAGGAAGGCAUCUCUGGAGAUCAUCUAGUCCAAAGCCCCUGCUCAAAACAGGCAGCUACAGCAGGUUCUUCAGGACCAUAUCCAGAUGUGUUGUGAGCUGUUCUCAGGAACGGAGACUCCCAAACCUCUCUGGGCCAUCUCUUCCAUGCUUAACAACUCUCAUGGUGAAAAAAGUUAUUAUGUUUAAAUAGAAUUUUCUGUAUUUUACUUCCUGCUCAUUUCCUCUUGCCCCUUACCGCUGAGAAGAGUCUGGCUCUAACUUUUACCUUUUCCACCAGGUAUUUAUAUGACCCGCCCUCCUCCCCCCCCCACCCCACCUCAGCCUUCACACCAUGGGCUGAGCAGUCCCAGCUCCCUCAGCCUCUCACCAUCUGGGCAGAGGCCCCAGUCCCUUCAGGGCCCCUGGCUGGGCCCACUGCAGCCCACAGCUGUGGGUGGAAGGACACAUGUUCACAUGAGCUUGAUCUUCAAAAGAAUCAAGAUUCUUUUGAGAGAAAAAAAAGAAAAGAAAAGAAAAGCACAAGCCCCAUAACUACAUUUCUAAAGGGAAAUUUUUAUCUAUUUUUUUUUUAAUGUUAAAAAAAAAAAAAGUUAAUUGUUCUACUAAAAAAGUGUAUUCUAGAUAAGGCCAUACACUGGAGAAAGGGAUUUUCAAAGCAAUCCUAGAAGAGCAUGGAAAAGCUGCUGAAUGUUUGUACUCCUUCCAAACUGUGAUUUGUAUUUAAUUAGCAUUCAAUUCAUUAUUCAUUUCUGCUUGGUUGUAAUGGUUACACACCGGUUUUGUAACAUGCAAGAUCUUGAUUACUUUUCUUGUUUUGAAAAGAAUCUCCAUGUGUGCAAGGAGAGACUCUGCUCUUGACACAUAUCUACCCUUUUUAGGAAAAAAAAAGCCUGCUGUUAUUUACUGACCGGUGUGCUUGGGCAGAAUUCCCCUCUGCUGGAAUCGCCCCCUCUGCCUUUAUUGUAAUGGUGUGCAGUAACUGACCUGCAGAAAGUAAAUGGACACAGUGGUGGCAGCCCUGUAUUUGUGGUUGGGUGCACACCUUCAUUUAAAGCUGGAAUCCAGCUCUGUUUUGCAUAAGAAUGUAGAAAACAUGCAUUCCCCAAAUUAACAGCAUGUAAAGAGUCUUUAAUCUGGAAGCAAAUAUGUUAAUUAUCUCUGGGUAAAACUAAAUGGCACCCUUUAAGGAUGUUGAUUCCUCUGAAACACAAGAAUUUUUGCUGCUUUUUUUUUGAAAAAGAACAAACUGUGCCAGUAAAAAAUGCACACAAGGAGGUAUGAGGACAAGAGGAAGUCUCUGGUAAUUUAUAUAAAUACACUGUUUGAAUUAAAAUGUAAACAUAUUGACGAUAGUUACAACAAAAUGAUUCUCUAUGUUAUUCUAGAGUGUUGUGUAUAUUGUUUUUUGAUGCUCCCAUGAUAUAUUUUAUCAGCCAUGUGCAUUUUCCAAUGUGCAAACCUUUCUGAAUAAUUUCAAAGGAAAACAUACUUUAAUAUAUACUUUCACAGGUCCGUGGAACUCAUGAUGACUCAGACAGGGUGACAGGAGUCACAUUCAGAGAGAUGUACCAGGGCAGAAGCACUGCAAGUUACUUCUGCUUCUACAGCAAAUUCUGAGCUGGUUCUCAGCUGUGUCUGUAAUAACUGCUAGCGUACCUUACCUACACAGUAUCUAUUUGAAAUUCUGUGCUUCAGUUUCAGUUUUUGCAACAAGCAGUAACCUACACAAAUGAACCAUAUUAUGAGGCCUUCCAAUUCCUCGCGCUCAAAAGCACAUCUUCAUGCUUUUUGCUUUUGUGUUUCUUUUGGUAUCACAUAUGGCAGCAAAGUUGACAUCAAUUAGAAUGUAUUUUAAAGAAGAGGUCUGAUGCGUUUGUAAAAUAUCUGGGUCCUUUCACUUGUGUCAGAGUAUCUAUUUGCAGCAUGGGCUUCCUCCUACUGUUUGUGUGCAUACACGGCUCAGCACACGGGUGCUCUGAUCUUGCAAGUUGUUACAAUAGCUCAAAUGCAAAUAUAGUGAACAUUAGGAUGUGCUUUUGGAUAUGUUCCAGAACUACAGAAUGGGGUUUUCCAUUCCUGAACUUACUGCUGGCACUUUAUUACAUACAUUUUUCCCCAUCCCUGUAGUGUGCAUGGUUACAUUUAAUAGAGCUGUCUGAAGCGUUUUGAAUUUUCCUGACUCAACAUCAACAGAAUGGCAUUAUAUUAUAUAUAUUAUAUAUAUAUAUAUAUUUUUUUCCCCUAGUUACCACUAAAAUCAGUUCCUUGUUGUAGCUCAUGGCAUGAGUUUCCCGGCCAGCUGUGCUGCACAACAGAAGGGGCAGUGUGUCCCUACGAGGGUUGUAACAAGACCUGGGUAAGGGAGAAGGGGCAGACAGACAGAAGCAAUACCUAGAAGCCACUCUGCCAAAGUGUUUUUCAACACCAGAGACAGCUCACAGGCCAGUGGGGACAGAAGAGGGACUUCAGCUGACACACAUUUCUGGCAACCUUCCUUUGACUGAACCAACCUAAACAGUGCUUGAAUUUUCCUAUGGUCAUGGGCCUGCUUUCAAGCAAACUACACAGGGGAUGAUUAAAGCUUUAAGAAGAAAACACCGUGGAAGGGAGUUUAAAGGGAGAAUUAACUGGGCGCUGUAGGAGAGGGUGGGGUUGGGAUUGCAGAAUAAGGCGGUUUCAGUCUGGUCUGAAGGGAAGGGUGAGAAAUGAGUGCUGGAUGCUUACUUGAAGCAAUGGGCGAUUGCAGCCUCUUCCUCAAGACCUUGAAUUUGGAUGAGGAAGGGUGGGGCAGAGAGAAGGGGAGGGUGCAGUCUCCAGAGACUGCUGAGCAGGCAGAAUGUUGUGAGCAAGGUGAGUCAUGAGGUGCAGGCAGCAGGAAUUUCCUGCAGUGUUUAAGACACGCAUGUGGAGGCAGGAGCAGGAGAGUGCAGUGACCAAGUGUCUUGUUUCACAGAACUUCCCAUGCCAUCCUAACAAGUGCAGGAUGUCAUUUUUUCCUGUAUCUUAGGCCAAUGGUACAUAUUUUUCUCUCUUUAUCGGCCUUUCUCACUGGUUUGUUUUGCUUGCAUACUAUGCCUCAUAGUAUUAUGACGCUGACCAACACUGG